AAACCAUGCACCGAAGCUGCGGCAGCGACACUAUGUGUUGUUGGGUAGGGGAGCGUUCUGUAAGCCUGCGAAGGUGACCUGUGAGGGUUGCUGGAGGUAUCAGAAGUGCGAAUGCUGACAUAAGUAACGAUAAAGCGGGUGAAAAGCCCGCUCGCCGGAAGACCAAGGGUUCCUGUCCAACGUUAAUCGGGGCAGGGUGAGUCGACCC
RNAcentral lists this ribosomal RNA (208 nucleotides) under Klebsiella pneumoniae. Its description in RNAcentral is "partial 23S ribosomal RNA". It matches the Rfam family "Bacterial large subunit ribosomal RNA", at positions 1184 to 1390 of the family's 2925-position model. Lineage: Bacteria; Pseudomonadati; Pseudomonadota; Gammaproteobacteria; Enterobacterales; Enterobacteriaceae. The record is from RNAcentral.